UUUACUUGAUACAAUUUCUCAUGGGACUGGCUACAUGUCAGUCGACUGAAAGUAAUUUAUCGGUCAAUCGACUGACCACAAACACGAUUCAGUCAAUAUAUGCGUUGGAGCGCUUCUUACUGCACGCGGAGCAUCAAGUCCGUUGCAGGAUGCAUGUAGCUAGCUAACACGAGGCAGCUAUGAUAGUUAGUUACUGCUUGUCCAUUGCAUCGGAACAUCCAAACACAUUGUGACUCAAAUGAUGAUAGGAGCUAGGCCAUGUUUGGUCCAGACAAAAAAAAUGUUUGGACAAGACUUUUUUUCUAAAUUACAACUUAGUGGGUUUCUAGUUCAUCAACAGUUCUACAUGGAAGAGGAAAAACAAGCAAGUCUAGAAAAGUUGAAUAAUAAGAUUGAUAAGAGCAUAUCCCAUGGUAGUAAUAAAAAAUUCUUUACUGUUGUGGUGAGAAAAUCUCCUGAGGGUGUGAUAACUGGCGCUGCUCGGGGGAGGCUGAAAGUGAAGCUACGAUUUACAAAGUUGAAUCCCCUGAUUCAUCUUUGGGCCACUGAGAGCAAGAUGGAGAAAAUUUAGAAGAAAGCUGUAGCUGCUGCAAAAAGAGAGUUAUUGAAGUUUACACUGCUUGUGGUUAUCUUACAUACUGGAAAGGUCUGCUGACGGGGGAUGAUUGAGAGGCAAUGUAGCGUGGAGCUAAGAUGCUGAAGAACCAUGCAACUAGCAUGAUGCAGAUUUGUGUUGCCCCAAAGGGUACCCAGUGAUGGUGGUGAUGCUACAAGUUUUAGCCUUCGCUGUUAGGAGUUUUAGACCCCUGCGUGGGUGUUUGGUCGAUUCCUGAGUGAAUCUGAUUGUAUCCUGGUUUGUCUUAGACUUGUGUCCUCUAUUUGACUUUGGUUCUAGGUUGUCAGUUGCGCUUCUAUGGUGUUUUUGGGUUUUCGCCCUGCGGUAGGCUGCUCGAUGACGAGUGCCUAUGGUGGGUUUCCCAAAAAUGCUUUGAACUUGCACCCUUUCUGUUUUUUUCUUUUGCUAAACUUUGUAUUUCCGUUAUGCUGGUAAUGGAAAGGGGUUCGCCCGGUUCAAAAAAAAGUUCAUCAACAAUUUUUUAGUUAAAAGGCAUAGGCCCGACUUUAUAGAUAAAGCCACCAGGUAGAGUAACAGCACAGAUAACAGAGAGAGAGGUUUAAAAGGCACCCAUGCCAAAAGGGGAGUAGAUA
Molecule: long non-coding RNA, 1209 nt
Organism: Hordeum vulgare subsp. vulgare (domesticated barley)
Lineage: Eukaryota; Viridiplantae; Streptophyta; Magnoliopsida; Poales; Poaceae
Exons: 3
Source: RefSeq, a predicted model, not a curated record